GACGAACGCUGGCGGCGUGCUUAACACAUGCAAGUCGAACGGUAAGGCCCUUCGGGGUACACGAGUGGCGAACGGGUGAGUAACACGUGGGUGAUCUGCCCUGCACUUCGGGAUAAGCCUGGGAAACUGGGUCUAAUACCGGAUAGGACUCCUGGCUUCAUGGUUGGGGGUGGCAAGCUUUUGCGGUGUGGGAUGGGCCCGCGGCGUAUCAGCUUGUUGGUGGGGUAAUGGCCUACCAAGGCGACGACGGGUAGCCGGCCUGAGAGGGUGACCGGUCACACUGGGACUGAGAUACGGCCCAGACUCCUACGGGAGGCAGCAGUGGGGAAUAUUGCACAAUGGGCGCAAGCCUGAUGCAGCGACGCCGCGUGAGGGAUGACGGCCUUCGGGUUGUAAACCUCUUUCAGCUAUGACGAAGCGCAAGUGACGGUAGUAGCAGAAGAAGGACCGGCCAACUACGUGCCAGCCGCCGCCUAAA
RNAcentral lists this ribosomal RNA (478 nucleotides) under uncultured bacterium. RNAcentral describes it as "partial 16S ribosomal RNA". It matches the Rfam family "Bacterial small subunit ribosomal RNA", at positions 28 to 523 of the family's 1533-position model. The record is from RNAcentral.